CGAAACCAAAUCAGGCUCAACCUUUAAAGCCUCUUCAAAAGCAUUAUGGGCCUCAAUUUUCAAGCCCUUAAUCUCAUAACAUUGGCCCAACAAACAAAAGGCCUUAGCCCGAUCCGAACAAUUCAAUUUUACAGCUUCUAAUAGAUCCAUUAAAGCCGAAUCAACCCGUCUCUUCCGGUUCAACGCCACCAGUAACUCCGCCCGUUUCAGCAGCGCAUCCGCUCUUUCGCCGCCGGACAACAACUUCACCGCUGGCGGAGAUAAGGCGGAAUCCAACGAUCUUAAAGCGGAGAGUUUGUGUCCGAUUAGAUCGAGUGAUAAAGCUUUGAGAAUAUGAG
This 338-nucleotide unclassified non-coding RNA is filed under the name Hevea brasiliensis (rubber tree). The record is from RNAcentral. Lineage: Eukaryota; Viridiplantae; Streptophyta; Magnoliopsida; Malpighiales; Euphorbiaceae.